This 279-nucleotide ribosomal RNA is filed under the name uncultured bacterium. RNAcentral's name for it is "partial 16S ribosomal RNA". It matches the Rfam family "Bacterial small subunit ribosomal RNA", at positions 506 to 784 of the family's 1533-position model. The record is from RNAcentral.
UGCCAGCCGCCGCGGUAACACGGGGGGCGCAAGCGUUAUUCGGAAUUAUUGGGCGUAAAGGGCGCGCAGGCGGUCUUGUCCGUCAGGUGUGAAAGCUCGGGGCUCAACCCCGGAAGUGCACUUGAAACAGCAAGACUUGAAUACGGUAGAGGAGAGAGGAAUUCCUGGUGUAGAGGUGAAAUUCGUAGAUAUCAGGAGGAACACCGAUAACGAAGGUAACUCACUAGGCUGAUACUGACGCUGAGGUACGAAAGCGUGGGGAGCGAACGGGAUUAGAUA